AUCGGACUGCAGAAGUAA
Molecule: unclassified non-coding RNA, 18 nt
Filed under: Mus musculus (house mouse)
Lineage: Eukaryota; Metazoa; Chordata; Mammalia; Rodentia; Muridae
Description: oocyte_clustered_small_RNA627
Source: RNAcentral